AUUUUUGGAUAAUCGCGUGGUAGGAUACUAUCAUGAGGAAAGUCCAUGCUAGCACUGGCUGUGAUGCCAGUAGUGUUUGUGCUAGGCGAACAAAUAAGCCUAGGGACAUCUUUGUAUGUUACGGCGGUCAAACGAGCUAAGUCUUUGAUAUGCUUUAGUAGGCCUGAAAAGUGCCACAGUGACGAAGUUUUUAUGGAAACGUAAAAAAUGGAACGCGGUAAACCCCACAAGUUAGCAACCCAAAUUUUGGUCGGGGCAUGGGAUGGAUGGAAACGAACAGAAAUCCUGACUGUUUUGACAGUAGACAGAUGAUUAUCGAAGGUGGCAGUACCUAGUGCCACUGGAACAGAACAUGGCUUACAGAA
Molecule: RNase P RNA, 365 nt
Filed under: Streptococcus parasuis
Lineage: Bacteria; Bacillati; Bacillota; Bacilli; Lactobacillales; Streptococcaceae
Description: RNase P RNA component class B
Rfam family: Bacterial RNase P class B
About the family: Ribonuclease P (RNase P) is a ubiquitous endoribonuclease, found in archaea, bacteria and eukarya as well as chloroplasts and mitochondria.
Source: RNAcentral